UGCUGUUGAAAUGUGUCGUAGAGAAAAGCAUCAGAAAAGUAUGAGAUGGUGGCUUUUUGUGGUGGUCUUAUUGGGUGCUACGAGGGUAUGAAUGAUGAUUCCCACUUCCUCUAGCACUAGUUGUUGAUUUCUUUACAUCCACUUCUCUUCUUUUCACAAACAUUAACUUCGCAAUGAACUGCAAAAAGUAAAGAUAAGAUUAAAAAGAAAAAAGAAAACUGGGUAGUAAGGAAUAAUUACUGGAAUAAUUAGGGUGCAGGCAGACCCAGAAAGGCACAUUCAUAGUAGUGUUAGUGUAGUAAAAGAAGAAAAACGAAUUAAAAAACUGGCAGGAAUAAGGAAUUGAGAGAUAAUUUGGUGAGUGGGAGAGGGCAUGCCUUGUUUCUUAAAAGUUUCUGAGAGAGAACCAGAUUCC
This 415-nucleotide long non-coding RNA is filed under the name Linum usitatissimum (flax). Its description in RNAcentral is "long non-coding RNA (LUSI_LNC003834)". The record is from RNAcentral. Lineage: Eukaryota; Viridiplantae; Streptophyta; Magnoliopsida; Malpighiales; Linaceae.